CAUCUGCAGAUUGACCCCUAGCUCAAGGAAUUUCCAUAUGCUUCAGGUGCGGCCCUAAAAAGCAAAAAAAUAAAAAUUAAUAAAAUAAAAUAAAACUGUUAGAUUUAAACAUUUCACCAAACACUAACAGAAUGCUACCACCACCUUUGUACGGUUCUGGAGUAGAACAGAAAACCCUCAAACUGGAAGGUCAUCAAAUUCAAACCCCAUUCCUUAAGUUUGAAGAAGCUAUAAAAUAGUUUCCACAUAAAAGUCAAUGUAAAUAUUACUUAUACUAUAAAAAAUAUAACUUUAAUAUCAAUAAAUUUGUCCUAACUAUAAUCUUUGGUUCCAGUAUAAAUAUAUCCAUUCCACUUCCAGCUGACAAUCUGUUUUUUUGUUUGUUUGUUUCCAUUCUUAGCUAGACCCUCUGAAUUCAUGUCCUUCCUUAACUCCCUGAUUGCCCACAGCAACUGACAGAUCUUUGUCAUUUUCAAAUCCCCCCUUCCAUUCUGCCUGGAAUUUCUCAAGAGCAUAUACAAGCUAUUUCAUCUACAUAUAACUGCAUCUACAUAUUGGCAUCAAUUUAAACUCUUUUUUUUUCUUUUUUUUUUUUAAUUUUUAUCGCCAUAUCUGCAGCUUAUGGAAGUUCUUGGGGCAGGGGUCGAUCGGAGCUACAGCUGCCAGCCUACACCACAGCCACUAGAUCCAAGCCUUGUCUUUGACCUAUACCACAGCUUCAAUGCCAGAUCCUUAACUCAUUGAGUGAGACCAGGGGUCGAACCCUAUCCUUACAAACACUAUGUCAGGUUAUUAACCCACUGAGUCAUAAUGAGAACUCUCCCAACUGACAAUCCUUUUGAUUUUUUCGGAAAACUGUAAUAUCCCUUCUAAUGUCAGCUUCAUUGUAUGAUUUUGAUGUGCAGUGUUAUUUUGUGGGAAGAAAUACUAUCUUUCUAUUCUCAUGUUUUCAGUCAUAAACUCUACCUUGCCAUGUGAUAGUGAUAGUUGUGUACAAAAAAAAAAAAAAGGCCCAAGUUCAGUCUGUGAUGUUUGAAAAUAGAUGUGUAUCUAAUAUGAAAUAAUAAUAAAAUAAUUUGUAUAACAAUUGAUUCCUAUACUCACUAAUUUCUUUAUUUGGGAAAAAAAGUAUUGAAUCUAGAAGGAAAGAAAUUAAAGGACUGAAAAAAAUGCUUCCCCCAAAUCUAAACUAGAAGUAUUUAAGAAAUGUUUUCUUAUUAAGACAUGCAGAGAAUAAAGUAAAUUGAGCUGGAGAGAGGAUUGCAUAACUGGCUGUGAAAAUAGCCAUUUGUUAAAAAUAAGACAAAUCUUCAUCAGAAGAAGGAAGUGGUUGUAAAAGGGCUAAUAAUUUUGUAGGAAAACUUACAAGUAUUUCAAGGGCAGGGCUGUGCUAGUGUGUGUAUAUCCAGCUUUAGUCUAGAAAGGCUGGGUUGUUCUAAACUAUCAGAGAGUAUGAUGUCCCAAGGGUUUGGAAAUGGAGUUUUAUGGUAGAAUGUAAAAUCCCUAGUCAAUCACCAUAUGGGGGGAGGAAGAGACUUUGGUGAUGAGCCCUAUUAAUUGAAGCAUAUUACGGAGGAAACAUGAUGAGCUUAAAGAGAAGAGAUUCCAAUAAGUGUAAAAGGAGAAAAAGAGAGGGUAAGACCCAGACUUCACACCUGUGACCUUCUCAUAGCAUGGCCCAGUCAGUGAAUGUUAGAGCUGGAAGUGGCCUUGAAAGCCUCUGCUUCUUCUGCCUCCAUUUCAGAUGGCAGAACUGAGCAUGUAGAUUAGAAAAGCAUGGAUCCAACUGGAACCAUCAAGAAAUCCAACAUUUUUGAGUGAUAAGCAAAGGAGGAGUGACACAGGAGACCAAGAAGGAACAGUUAAAAGUCAGGAAAAGGGCUUAUUUUCCAUCAAUUACUUAUGAAAAAUGGCUAAAUAUGGUCUGUAUAAAAGCAAAAUCAAUAAGCAAGACAUGGAAGCAACCGAAGUGUCCACUAACAGAUAAAUGGAUAAAGAUGUGGUACAUAAAUACAUAUAUUACUCAGCCAUAAAAAAGAAUGAAAUAAUGCCAUUUGCAGCAACAUGAAUGGGCCUAGAGGCUAUCAUACCAAGUGAAGUUAGAGAAAGACAAAUAUCAUAUGAUAUCACUUAUAUGUGGAAUCUCAUAAAAAGACAAAAGAACUUACAGAACUUAUUUAUAAAACAGAAAUAAACUCACAGAUUUCAAAACCAGUCCUUUCUCUCUCUCUCUCUCUCUCUCUCUCUCUCUCUCUCUCUCUCUCUCUCUUUUUUGUCUUUUUACACCUGCAAUGUAUGGAGGUUCCCAGGCUAGGGAUCCAAUUGAAGCUUGUAGUCACAGGCCUAUACUACAGCCACAGAAACAUGGGCUCCAAGCUGCCUCUGUGACCUACACCACAGCUCACAGCAACGCCAGAUCCUUAACCCAAUGAGCAAGGCCAGGGAUUGAACCCGUGUCCUCAUGGAUACUAGUUGGGUUCAUUAACUGCUGAGCCACAACGGGAAUGCCUCAAAACCAAUCUUAAGGUUACCGUAAUUGAAACCAUUAAGGGGAGGAAAGAAUUGGGUGGGUAGGAAUAACACAUAUACACUACUAUAUAAAAGGGAUGCUUAACAAGAAACUGCUGUAUCUAUAGCAUAGGAAAAUCUACUCAACAGUUUGUAAUAACCUAUAUGGGAAAAAAGAAUGGAUAGAUAUAUAUACAUGACUGAUUCACUUUGCCGUACACUUGAAACUAAUACAACAUUGUAUAUCAGCUAUACUUCAAUGAAAUUAAAAUUUU
RNAcentral lists this long non-coding RNA (2783 nucleotides) under Sus scrofa (pig). RNAcentral's name for it is "lncRNA (ENSSSCG00005031162.1)". The record is from RNAcentral. Lineage: Eukaryota; Metazoa; Chordata; Mammalia; Artiodactyla; Suidae.